This 75-nucleotide transfer RNA is filed under the name Parcubacteria group bacterium ADurb.Bin115. Its description in RNAcentral is "tRNA-Arg". It matches the Rfam family "tRNA". From Rfam's summary of the family: Transfer RNA (tRNA) molecules are approximately 80 nucleotides in length. Their secondary structure includes four short double-helical elements and three loops (D, anti-codon, and T loops). The record is from RNAcentral.
GCUCCGGUAGCUCAAUUGGAUAGAGCGUGUGGCUUCGGACCACAAGGUUAGAGGUUCGAGUCCUCUCCGGAGCAC